Molecule: long non-coding RNA, 686 nt
Organism: Alnus glutinosa
Lineage: Eukaryota; Viridiplantae; Streptophyta; Magnoliopsida; Fagales; Betulaceae
Exons: 4
Source: RefSeq, a predicted model, not a curated record
UAAACUCCUUAUUCUCUCCCCUUGGCUCAUGACCACUUGCUCUCCCCAUUCAGAUUUUCUCUUCUUUUCUCACCUAAAACUCACACAAAACACAGCCCUUGGUUCUCCCUCUCCAUUACGCCAAUUCCUCUCCAUUUUCUCUUCUUCUCUUGCAAUCUCCUCAUGGUUUGAAUGUGACUUGGCAAGCUUCAACCAUUGAGGGCUUUUCCUACCAACUAAAACCGUUUGACUUGGGCUUUGCUUCAAAUCAAGUCUUUCAUCGUUUUUGAGCUUUGGGUAACGAUUUUCGAGUAUUAGGACCCCCAAUCUACCGAUUAUUUUGAGUGGUUCAUCGCAAGAGGUUGUCUAAGAAUCUAUAGUUGAGCUUGUUAUUCGCACAACCAAGGGACUCCUGAGGUAGACGAUGACCCCGUAGCUUUAUAUUUGGGAUAUUACAAUUAGAGCUCGAUGCGACAAUUGUAAUGUAAUGGACUGCGCGUUGUCCAUUCUUUUGGGUAUUUUGUAUAUGGCUCGUGACAUACAUGUCACUUAAUCUUUUGUCUAGCCAUUCUUUUGUAUUAGUUGUAAUGAUGUUAAGCCUUAAACAGAUAGACAUGUGUAUGGCUCUUUUGUGUAAACAACAGGUUUAUUUUUAGCUAUGCCUUUUCGCUAAGUUAAUGAUUUGUAUUAUUAUGUUUUCCGCUGCA